Molecule: non-coding RNA, 22 nt
Filed under: Mus musculus (house mouse)
Lineage: Eukaryota; Metazoa; Chordata; Mammalia; Rodentia; Muridae
Source: RNAcentral
UGCCAGUCCCUGCGCCACACCA